GCCGGGCGCGGUGGCUCACGCCUGUAAUCCUAGCACUCUGGGAGGCCGAGGUGGGUGGAUCACUUGAGGUCAGGAGUUCGAGACCAGCCUGACCAACAUGGUGAAACCCCGUCUCUA
RNAcentral lists this non-coding RNA (117 nucleotides) under Pan paniscus (pygmy chimpanzee). Lineage: Eukaryota; Metazoa; Chordata; Mammalia; Primates; Hominidae. RNAcentral also lists the same sequence under 1 other name. The record is from Rfam by way of RNAcentral.